RNAcentral lists this ribosomal RNA (740 nucleotides) under uncultured bacterium. RNAcentral describes it as "bacterial SSU rRNA". It matches the Rfam family "Bacterial small subunit ribosomal RNA", at positions 777 to 1500 of the family's 1533-position model. The record is from RNAcentral.
AUUAGAUACCCUGGGUAGUCCACGCGGUAAACGAUGAUUACUAGGUGUCGGGGGGUUAUAACCCUUCGGUGCCGCCGCAAACGCAAUAAGUAAUCCACCUGGGGAGUACGUUCGCAAGAAUGAAACUCAAAGGAAUUGACGGGGACCCGCACAAGCGGUGGAGCAUGUGGUUUAAUUCGAAGCAACGCGAAGAACCUUACCUGAUCUUGACAUCCCCCUGACCGGCCCGUAAUGGGGCCUUCCCUUCGGGGCAGGGGAGACAGGUGGUGCAUGGUUGUCGUCAGCUCGUGUCGUGAGAUGUUGGGUUAAGUCCCGCAACGAGCGCAACCCUUAUCCUUAGUAGCCAGCAGUAAGAUGGGAACUCUAGGGAGACUGCCGGGGAUAACCCGGAGGAAGGUGGGGAUGACGUCAAAUCAUCAUGCCCCUUAUGACCAGGGCUACACACGUGCUACAAUGGCGUAAACAAAGGGAGGCGAGACCGCGAGGUAGAGCAAAUCCCAAAAAUAACGUCUCAGUUCGGAUUGUAGUCUGCAACUCGACUACAUGAAGCUGGAAUCGCUAGUAAUCGCAGAUCAGAGUGCUGCGGUGAAUACGUUCCCGGGUCUUGUACACACCGCCCGUCACACCAUGGGAGUUGGAAAUGCCCGAAGUCAGUGACCCAACCGUGGAGAAACUCGUUUCUCCGGAGGGAGCUGCCGAAGGCAGGUCUGAUAACUGGGGUGAAGUCGUAACAAGGUACC